AAGCACAAUGAAAAGGAAAGUCAGAAAGAAGAAAAAGAAGGGAACCAUUACAGCAAAUGUUGCCGGGACAAAGUUUGAAAUUGUUCGUUUAGUAAUAGAUGAAAUGGGAUUUAUGAAAACUCCAGAUGAGGAUGAAACAAGUAAUCUUAUAUGGUGUGAUUCUGCUGUUCAGCAGGAGAAAAUUUCAGAGCUGCAAAAUUAUCAGGUAGGAAAUUAAUCAUGACCAGUUAGUGGUAUGAGGAAAGUUAUAUGGAUUCCACAUAACUUUUUUAGAUAGGUUCUUAAUAUGUUGCCUUAUUACAUUUCAGCUCUUACUCACCUGAAUAGCCUGUUUUGUUGCUAUCCAGUUGUAUUGGCUCUUUGCAUGAAGCCUGCAUCUUUUGCAGACUUAAGUUUUAACCUCUUUCUAUCUUUAGGGAAGAAUCAAUAGAAAAAACCUCUUCUGGUUGGGCGUGGUGGCUGACACCUGUAAUCCCAGCAUUUUGGGAGGCCAAGGCGGGUGGAUCACGAGGUCAAGAGAUUGAGACCUUCCCUGGCCAACAUAGUGAAACCCCAUCUCUACUAAAAAUACAAAAAUUAGCUGGGUAUGGUGGCACACGCCUGUAGUCCCAGCUACUCAGGAGGCUGAGGCAGGAGAAUUGCUUAAACCCGGGAGGUGGAGGCUACAGUGAGCUGAGAUUGGGCCACUGCACUACAGCUUGGUGACAGCGAGACUCCAUCUCAAAAAACAAACAACAACCACCAAAAAAAAAAACAA
RNAcentral lists this long non-coding RNA (757 nucleotides) under Homo sapiens (human). Its description in RNAcentral is "non-protein coding lnc-GNG5-6:1". Lineage: Eukaryota; Metazoa; Chordata; Mammalia; Primates; Hominidae. The record is from RNAcentral.